Long non-coding RNA from Sinocyclocheilus rhinocerous, 265 nucleotides. RefSeq lists it as uncharacterized. Lineage: Eukaryota; Metazoa; Chordata; Actinopteri; Cypriniformes; Cyprinidae. The transcript has 3 exons. The record is from RefSeq and is a predicted model, not a curated record.
UUCCAGACCAGCUGAGGGUUACGUGGCCUGAGGGAAAUGCUUGGGCUGAGGAUGAUGCUCGUCCGGCUGGCACACUCAUGGGUCCGAUUAAAGUGGAGAUUUUGAACAAAAAAGGAGAUUCAGUGUCUCGGCUGCCCGUGGCUGGCACUACUAAGAAACUGUUGAUUGAGCUGAAAGUCAUCUGGCACUCUCCUAAAGGAGACGUCCAGACGAACUCCUACAUUGGUGCUCAUUCAUCCAAGUGGGAAUACUGGUUCAAGUCCAU